AUUCAUAUCGAACCUGAAUCUUGACAGCCUUACGCACACCAGGAAAUACCUCUUGCGAAGCACUGCAUGAGGAGCAACAGUGUGGACAAAAGGACACAUCCAGACUGCUUUAGAAUUCUUGCAAAAGGGGUGCAAAAAUAGUGAGAUAACCAGUGAAAAAGUGCCAAAAAGCGGUUGGUGAAGCAAGGAUUGGAGAAUCGAUCAGAAUCCAAGAGAAACUGAAGUGUCAG
Molecule: long non-coding RNA, 230 nt
Organism: Chelonia mydas (Green sea turtle)
Lineage: Eukaryota; Metazoa; Chordata; Testudines; Cheloniidae
Exons: 3
Source: RefSeq, a predicted model, not a curated record